This 72-nucleotide microRNA precursor is filed under the name Pristionchus pacificus. RNAcentral's name for it is "microRNA ppc-mir-8312 precursor". The record is from miRBase by way of RNAcentral. Lineage: Eukaryota; Metazoa; Nematoda; Chromadorea; Rhabditida; Neodiplogasteridae.
GAGUCGCGUUUCGCGAAUUUGAUAUCUGGAAGGGGAAUGUGUUUCAGCUAGUCAUCCUUGCGUCGUUUAUCU